GCAGAACGCGAAGAACCUUACCAGGACUUGACAUGGAGGGACGGACGAGAGAUCGUUCUUCUUCCGCAAGGAAGCCCUCCACACAGGUGCUGCAUGGCUGUCGUCAGCUCGUGUCGUGAGAUGUUGGGUUAAGUCCCGCAACGAGCGCAACCCUCGUUUUAGUUUGCCAUCAUUCAGUUGGGCACUCUAAAGAAGACUGCCGCGAAUAACGCGGAGGAAGGUGGGGACGACGUCAAGUCAUCAUGGCCCUUACGUCCUGGGCUACACACGUGCUACAAUGGGCGUCACAGAGGGUCGCAAGAGCGCAAACUGGAGCCAAAUCCCCAAAAAACGUCCUCAGUUCAGAUCGAGGUCUGCAACCCGACCUCGUGAAGGUGGAAUCGCUAGUAAUCGCGGAUCAGAACGCCGCGGUGAAUACGUUCCCGGGUCUUGUACACACCG
RNAcentral lists this ribosomal RNA (441 nucleotides) under uncultured bacterium. RNAcentral describes it as "bacterial SSU rRNA". It matches the Rfam family "Bacterial small subunit ribosomal RNA", at positions 954 to 1392 of the family's 1533-position model. The record is from RNAcentral.